Molecule: long non-coding RNA, 396 nt
Organism: Mustela erminea (ermine)
Lineage: Eukaryota; Metazoa; Chordata; Mammalia; Carnivora; Mustelidae
Exons: 3
Source: RefSeq, a predicted model, not a curated record
CCCCCAGAGCUUCUUCCGUCCUGGACCCUGGCAGCCCCGCCCCAAGGAGGAAGGACUCCUCGGGCAUGGGGGGUCUGCUGGAGAGGCCUGGUCGGGACCCACAGGAGCAUCUUCUGGAAGGCCACGAGGCUGACAACCUUCUGGCUACACCUGGCCUCCAGGCAAUGCGCAGAAACAGCCUCAGCAGCGACUUCCCAUCUCCUGGAGGACCUUGGAGGGUAGAGUCCAAGUUUGGGAAGCCGCCGGCCCCAAUCUAGCGCGCUGGGGAGGACGGGAAGGAGCUCGAGAGGCGUCCCCAGAGCCAACGCAGCCUGGGGUGACUUCAGGGAGAGUCAGUUCUCUGGACGUCCGUUCGCCAAGACUGGUUCUGCCCCUGGCCUGUCUGCUGGUAGUUCC